This is a non-coding RNA of Nicotiana tabacum (common tobacco), 5539 nucleotides long. The record is from RefSeq and is a predicted model, not a curated record. NCBI's taxonomy places the organism in Eukaryota, Viridiplantae, Streptophyta, Magnoliopsida, Solanales, Solanaceae.
ACAUAUUAUCUUCAUUCCCUCGCUCUCAAACAAACAAAAGAAAAGCAGAAGUUAAAGGAACAGACCACUGUUUAUUUCAUCCAUUUCAGCCUGUAGUUCUAAAUUGAUCGACAGUAAAUAAGAAUUAUGAGUCGGGUUCUGGAUUUCUUCUUAGAAUACUCUUUACCGAGAAUAUCAGAUUUCCACAAUGGCUGUACAAGGUUUCAAGAUUUGCAACAAAUUAGUUCACGUUCGUCUUAUGGGAAGCCUUCUGCAGUCCAAAGUUGUAAAAGGGUUCAAUUUUCACUAGAAGCUUUAAAUCUGGAGGUAGCUGAUCAUGCUGAUUUGCAUUCACUUCCAGAUGAGGCAGAUUGCCGUAUUUGCUAUUGUUAAAGAAUCUGAGAUUAGAAUCAAGCCAAUGGAAAUUGUGGGGCUGUGUAUUAAUCAUUAGUAAGUGCCUUUGUAUCUCCUAAUCAAUAAUUGUGGAGUAAUGUAUAUAACAACUGGUGUUGGCUGAAAUUAGUACUCAGCGCCCAUUUAAAAGUCUUGCAUUCGUCAAGGAGAUAUGUCGGUAAGUGAAUAUGUGCUCUGACGUUAGGUUGCAUUUCAGAUGCUUACAUCGAUUUUGUUACGUAUGUUAAAAGAGUUGAAGUCUCUGGAAAAUUUGGUUUUACUUUAAGUACCGGGUUUGUUGUGGUUGUUUAUCCGAUAGUAUUAUUAACUCACUUAUAUUCAGCAGCCGCAAAGUUUUGGUUCAACAGCUAAGGUAGUGCAGCGCUCGCAUGUCACGAAUUGGAAGCCUAGCUUUUGAACCAAGACAGGUAUUAAGUGGAGAAGGGUAGAGUGGUGGGCCUAGUACGCACUGACUUUCGAAGCUAAACAACAAUGAAUUUCUCAGUCAUAAAAAAAGUCAUGUUUUGUACGCCACAUGUUAUAAUUUUCUGCAAUGAUUAAAACUUGACUUUCUAGUUUGAGUGUUGUUAGCUCAGCAAUAAAUUAGGGAAGUAUUAAUAUAUCAAAGUGCUCCUUUACUUUACCUGAUGCACUUUUGAAUGGGCAUGAAGAUUAGGUGUUUACAUCAUUACAUGCAUGUUUGGUUAGAUGGCUUAUGUGAUCAUCAACUGAAAAAGCUUGAUCGUUCCUUACUAGUUUUACUGGUUUCAUGUUGUGAUACAUACUAUCAUUAUCUAAAGAAGAUGAAUCUUCGAAACUUCAAAAUAGAUUUUGAGCAAUUGAAUCAUAGAAGCAAGAGGAUAUUCAUACGUCUAAGAUCUCUUAUGUAUAUAAUGCUCUUUCUGAAAGCUCCUUAGACUUGAAAUUGAUGUAGAAUUUAAUCUGAUAGCUUUAAUUCUACCAGCUUAUUUGAAAAAUUGAUUGGGAAUGUAAAAAACAUAAGAAACACAUAAAAAAAUAACGUGAUAAUUGUAGAUUUCAAGAAGAAGAAUGAAACUUCUUGUAUUUCAGUAUGUUUUUACAUCCAAUGAGCACUAGUAUUUAUACAGAGGUUCCUAUGGCUAAUUUAGGAAAGGAAAUCAAUUACAGUUAUUACACAAAUCAAUUAGAAUAAAAUCUCCUAGAAUUGAAUCAAAUCUCCUAAAAUUAAGUUUCUUACAAUCAAGCUAGUCAACAUAAUCAAAUCUCCUAAAAUUAAGUUUCCUACAAUCAAGCUAGUCAACACUCCCCCUCAAGUUGGUGCAAAGAUGUCACACAUGCCAAACUUGCAAACCAAAGUGUGGAAGGUUCGUCUGUUGAGACCUUUUUUAUGCACAUCAACUAGUUGUUUCUCUGAUGAUACAUGAAGUAUAGUCAAGACACCAUCUGUGAUCUUUUCGUUGAUGAAAUGUCGAUCAAUUUCAACAUGUUUCGUUCGGUCAUACUGAACAGGAUUAUGAGCUAUGCUGAUUGCAGCCUUGUUAUCACAAUACAAGGAAAGUUUCCCUUUUUCAGACAAUUUCAAUUCCUCUAGUAGCUUUUGCAACCACAAAAGUUCACAAACACCCUAGGCCAUAGCUCUAUAUUCUGCCUCGGCACUUGAUCUGGCAGCUACACUUUGCUUCUUGCUUCUCCAAGUAACCAAGUUCCCUCCUACGAGUGUACAAUAACCGGAUGUGGACCUUUUGUCAUCUAGAGAACCAGCCCAAUCUGCAUCUGUAUAAGCUUCUCCACGGAGGUGACCGUGUUUGGAGAAAAGGAGACCUUUGCCUGGAGCAGACUUUAAAUACCGCAAAAUGUGGAAGACAACUUGCAUAUGAGAAUCCCUAGGAUCAUGCAUGAACUGACUUACCAGGCUGAUUGAGUAAGCUAUACCUGGUCUAGUGUGGGAGUGAUAAAUGAGUCUUCCAACCAAGCUCUGAUAUCUCUCCUUAUCAACAGACUCUCCAACUCCUGUUUGUAACUUGUGAUUGCUUUCAAUAGGCGAUUUUGCUGGUUUGCAUCCUGUCAUAUCAGUUUCUUUCAAGAGAUCCAAAAUAUACUUUUUUGAGAAAUAAAGAUUCCCUUUUUCAAUCUGGCAACCUCAAUUCCCAAGAAGUACUGUAAUUUUCCAAGAUCAUUGAUCUCGAAUUCCUGUGCCAACAAGUUCUUCAACCGAACAAUUUCCUCUUUGUCAUCUCUUGUCAUUACUAUAUCAUCAAUAUAAACUAUGAGAAGAGUGAUUUUACCGCUUGAUGUCUUAUGAAGAGAGUAUGAUCGGCAUUGCUAUGUUGGUAUGGUAACCAAAAGAGAUCAUUACUUUACAAAAUCUGUCAAACCAAGCUCUAGGGGAUUGUUUCAAUCCGUACAGGGCUUUCUUCAAUCUGCACACCUUCCCUUGACUAUGUUCAGUAUCAAAUCUAGGAGGAAUCUCCAUAUACACUUCUUUUUCCAAGUCUCCACGAAGAAAAUCAUUCUUCACAUCAAACUGUUGUAAGUCCUUAUCAAGAUUAGCUGCACAAGAUAAAAGAAUUCUCAUAGUGUUCAUUUUAGCAACAGGGGCAAAUGCUUCUUGAUAGUCCACUUCAUAAGUUUGAGUGAAUUCCUUGGCCACCAAUCUUGCUUUGAAUCUUUCAACUGAGCCAUCAACUUUGUGUUUCACAAUGAAGACCUAUUUGUAGCCAACCAAAUUCUUGUCUGGGGUUGAUGUGCUCCCAAGUGCCAUUUUUUGACAAGGCCUUCAUUUCUUCAAUCAUAGCUUGCUUCCAUUUAGGAUCUGCAAAAGCUUCCCUCCAAUUCUGGGGAAUAGACAUAGAAGAAAUAGACAAGGCAAAGACUCUAUAGGACGGAGACAAAGAAUUAUAGGAGACAAAAUUGGAUAAAGGGUGUUUAGUGGUGCAAGAUCUGACUGCUUUUCUGUGAGCAACAUGCAAAUUUAACUUAUUAGAAAAUGUAGAUAAUUCACCAUAGAAGAGGGUUCGGCAGAAGAGGAUUCAACUUUAGUAGAUUGCAUGAUGACUUCUUCUGCUCUAUUUCUCCCCGAGUAAGUUAUCAAAUCAGGUCUGUCCAAAUGCCCAAUAGUCUCCCCCUGAAUUCUUUCUCCAAUUUCACUUUCCUUUGUGGUAGUGGUAGUGGUAUCAAUUGUGGCGCUAGGGAGAAUAACCUCUUCCCCAUUAUAGCUCCCCCCUGAAGAUUCAAUGGUGUAAUACUGAAAUAGGGCUCAGACUCUCAAAAAGUAACAUUCAUGCUGACACGGGAUCUCCUAGAGGGAGGAUGAUAGCAUUUGUACCCUUUAUGUGUUGGAGAAUACACGAUAAAGAUACAUUUAAAAGCUUUAGGAUCAAGUUUCCCAGAUUUUCUAGUGUGAACAAAGCAGAGACACCCAAACACCUUCGGAGGAACAACAUAGUAAUUUUUACCUUUUAAAGCUUCCAGAGGACUAUGAAAAUUGAGAGUUUUAAGCGGCAUUCUGUUGAUGAGAUAGUCAACUACUAGAAUGGCAUCCCUCUAGUAAGAUUUUGGUAGAUUCAUGGUAAACAUAAGAGAUCUUGCUACUUUUAACAAAUGCCUAUUCUUCCUUUCAGCAACCCCAUUUUGUGCACUAGUAUAAGGACAACUUGUUUGGUGGAUAAUCCUAUAAGACUCCAAUAAGCACCAAAUUUUCUAUCCAUGUAUUUCGUGCCAUUGUCGGUUCAUAAGAUUUUUAUCUUAGUCUCAAAUUGAUACAAAUCAUCUUAUGAAACAACUGAAAACAGGAGAGAACUUCACUUUUGGCCUUUAACAAAUAUACCUAAGUUAUCCUAGUAUAACAAUCAAUAAAAGUAACAAACCAUUGACUACCAGACAAAGAAACUGUUUGAGUAGGACCCCAUACAUCAGAAUGAAUAGUAGAAAAAGGAGUUGUACUUUUAUUAUCGCUUAAAGGAUAAGAGUUUCUAGUAUGUUUGGCAAAUUCACAAGCAUCACAAAACAGAGAUUCAAACUCGGUUUUAGAAAUCAAACUAGGAUAUAGCUUAUUCAAAGCAAAAAAUUAUGGAUGUCCCAACCGUCUAUGCACUGUAUUAUUUCUUGGUUGACAUCUUUAUUUCCUCCAAAAAAGGCCUGACCAAAGUUUUGAGUUCCAUCAAUCCAAUAUAAGUCAUCAUGCAAUCUAUCAUUGCCAAUCCUCUUCCUUAUUUGAAGAUCCUGGAAAACACAAUGAUCAGGGAAGAAUAAAACACUACAAUUUAGCUUUUUGGUGAUGGCGCUAAUAGAUAACAUGUUAACAGGAAACUCAGGUACAUGGAGAACCGAUGAUAAUGUAAUAUCAGGAAUACGGACAACAGAACCUGUUCCAAGGACAGGAGGUAGAGAAUCAUUGGCUAUUUUGACAUAAUCCCCUUUGGGACUAGGAGAGUAAUUUUGUAAGCCUUUAGAGGAGCCUGUCAUGUGUCUAUUCGCACCCGAAUCAAUAAUCCAAGAAUUAAGGUGAGCAUUAAAGGCAAUACCUAACUGCACAUAGUUGGAACUAGCAAUAUUAGAAAACAUUUUCUGCAAUAUUAACAUGACCCUUUGAUGGACUUGCACGCUUUCCUUCACUACCUCUAGUUGGUCUACCAUGUAGUUUCCAGCAUGUCUCUUUUGUGUGCCUUGGCUUUCCACAAUAAUCACAAUGCAUAUGAUCUUUAUCAGAAAUGAUUGCCCUUGGUUGCUCAUGAGACACAGUUAACCCGGAUUUCUCCGUUGGUGCUGAAUAAAGCAUGACCCCACGCCGACUCUCUUCUUGUUGAACAUAAGAGUAUGCAUCUUCAAGAGAAGGAAGAGGAACUUUACCGAGAUUUUGAACCCUGAUUUGAUCAUAUUCUUGGUUCAAACCGGCCAGAAAAUCAUAGACCCUGUCAUUUUCAACCAAUUGUUGAAAGAGAACUGCAUCAUCAGUACACUUUGCUUAGAGAUCCUAAUAGUAGUCAAUUUUCUUCCAUAAUCCACUUAACUAGGAAUAAUAAUUAAUGACAGUCAACUCACCUUGCUUAGUCGCAUGGAUUUAUUUCGAAUCUCAAAGAUCUGGGCAUCAUUUCCCUUGCGUGAGUAAUGUUACGCCUUCCUGAAGUUCCUUGGAAGGGCGACGUAAGGCUAAGCAACCGAUGUCAGUGCGAUUGUUGUCCGCCAA